CCUACGGGCGGCAGCAGUGGGGAAUAUUGGGCAAUGGGCGCAAGCCUGACCCAGCAACGCCGCGUGAAGGAAGAAGGCUUUCGGGUUGUAAACUUCUUUUGUCAGGGAAGAGUAGAAGACGGUACCUUACGAAUAAGCCACGGCUAACUACUUGCCAGCAGCCGAGGUAAUACGUAGGUGGCAAGCGUUGUCCGGAGUUACUGGGUGUAAAGGGCGUGUGGCCGGUUUGACAAGUCAGUUGUGAAAUCCUGCGGCUUAACGGCAGAACUGCAUUUGAAACUGUUGAUCUUGAGUACUGGAUAGGCAGACGGAAUGCCUGGUGUAGCGGUGAAAUGCGUAGAUAUUAGGAGGAACACCAGUGGCGAAGGCGGUCUGCUGGACAGCAACUGACGGUGAGGCGCGAAAGCGUGGGGAGCAAACAGGAUUAGAUACCCGAGUAGUC
RNAcentral lists this ribosomal RNA (442 nucleotides) under uncultured bacterium. RNAcentral's name for it is "partial 16S ribosomal RNA". It matches the Rfam family "Bacterial small subunit ribosomal RNA", at positions 338 to 795 of the family's 1533-position model. The record is from RNAcentral.